GAAAUGCGAUAAGUAGUGUGAAUUGCAGAAUUCAGUGAAUCAUCGAAUCUUUGAACGCACAUUGCGCCCCUUGGUAUUCCAUGGGGCAUGCCUGUUCAAGCGUCAUUUGUACCCUCAAGCUCUGCUUGGUGUUGGGUGUUUGUCCCCGUCUCCGCGCGUGGACUCGCCCCAAAGUGAUUGGCAGCCGGCGUACUGGUCCCGGAGCGCAGCACAUGUCGCGCAAACGAGUGCCUUGGUACGGCGGCGUCCAUAAGCCCCUCUCUCACGCUCUUGACCUCGGAUCAGGUAGGGAUACCCGCUGAACUUAAGC
Molecule: unclassified non-coding RNA, 310 nt
Filed under: plant metagenome
Description: partial contains 5.8S ribosomal RNA, internal transcribed spacer 2, and large subunit ribosomal RNA
Rfam family: 5.8S ribosomal RNA (bases 1-105)
Source: RNAcentral